AUAAUGAUACUUCUCUACGGAGCUGGCGGAGAACCCGGCAGAGGUGAGAUUCCUAUGA
Regulatory RNA element from Ruminococcus sp. CAG:108, 58 nucleotides. It matches the Rfam family "pemK RNA". The record is from Rfam. Lineage: Bacteria; Bacillati; Bacillota; Clostridia; Eubacteriales; Oscillospiraceae.